RNAcentral lists this non-coding RNA (77 nucleotides) under Azotobacter beijerinckii. The record is from RNAcentral. Lineage: Bacteria; Pseudomonadati; Pseudomonadota; Gammaproteobacteria; Pseudomonadales; Pseudomonadaceae.
UUGAGCCGUAUGCGGGGAAACUUGCACGUACGGUUCUUAGGGGAGGCGGCUGCGGCAACGUUGCCGCCUUACCCGAU